RNAcentral lists this long non-coding RNA (1917 nucleotides) under Portunus trituberculatus (swimming crab). RNAcentral's name for it is "uncharacterized LOC123520771". The record is from RNAcentral. Lineage: Eukaryota; Metazoa; Arthropoda; Malacostraca; Decapoda; Portunidae.
CUCAAAGUGAAAUUUGAAUCAUUAUUUUAUCUAAAUUGGGAAAGGCAGGCAUUACGAAAUACACCAAAACCUGUUAGAUGGUGACACCACCUUGGCACAUCAAAACUACAACAGACUAAUGUACUCACCAGAUGGGCGAGCCUUGUAGGAGGAGGGCACUUGCUGUUCUUGACAAUGUUUAUCUCACUCAGUAAUCUUGACUUGCUGGGACAUGGUGGGACGACGCACUUGGCUGUACUGGGAGGACAGAGCUUUGUGGGGGUAUUGCCGAGGGCUUCAGGCUGCUGCGUCUUCACUGAGAUAGUCAUCAGGUGUCUAAUCGCACUAGCUUUUAUGUGUCAGUAUGUUAUGGUGUACUUAUUGAGGAAUAAAAUCGUUUAAAUGAACGCCAAUUUUUUUCUUGAGUUUACCAUGGAUAUUUUCACUAGUGAUUCAAAGCACUGCUAUUUUUUUUUUUUUUUUUGUUCGCUGUGAAUUUCCAUAACAUGACCCUGAGUCUACUCCGAACACUUAUUAUUCAGAAUAAACAAUAAUCGUGUUGUUUGUGUAAAUCAUGUCUUGCACGAAUCGAGCCUCUUGAUGCUACACAUUCCUUAUGUUCCACUUUGCUAAUAUGCUGCUGGCAUGGGAGCGUCACGCCCCCUCAGCAAUAUUCGUAUUUUAAAUUUAGACAUUCUGCCACCCCACCUCGAGGAGUGUGGAGGUGGCGCGUAGGUGUUCGUGGUGUGGGCCGCACCAAUGAAGCAACAGUUGUUGGAGGCAGCGGGCGUCAGGCAGGCCACCCCGGGGUGAAGAGUAAGACUCUCAGGGUGCCAGUGACGAUCCACCCGGGUGCCACAGCUUACCGCCCCACGUUGGUUGAUGAGGCAGCCUGGCCAAACACUGAGGCCAUCUCCCCUCUACCGCGCGCUGGGUUCUUCGACACGCCCACCACCCGCCAGGCCACUCCCUCGAGCCCACACCCGCCGCCACCUCGUUUCUCAUCCGUCCCCUCCUCCAUUCACCCGAGCACUGUCAAUGAGAAUGCUGAUAUAGGCAAUUAUAUUUGGCACUAUUUUAGUUUUUGUGUGUGAAAAUAUACAUUUCCACAAUGUACUAAGCUUUGUUCUUUGCGUACGGUCCGGUACUUGCUCGCCUUUCACUCUAUUGGUAUUCAUGGCAAAGCUAAGCUAGCAGUAUUGGGAAUAGUGCAUUUAAUCAAUUGUUUGUAGGUUGUUGUACUGAUAAGAAGUGAGUGAAGCAAGCAGGGUGAAUGAACGGGGGCACAGAGCUGGACCAAGGCGGGUGGAAGUGGGCGGAGCGAGGGCGUCAGACUCCGCCUCUCUGCGAGGAAGGCGCCCUCCGCAAGCCAGUGGUUCCAGUGUACUUGCCGUGCCCGCUAAGGACCGCGUCUGUGCUACUGGCCUCUCUUCGCACCUCAACCACCUCCACACACCAGCACACCCCUGUGCCCUGGCCUCGCACGCCCACCACCUCACUUAUCAAGUGUUUAUACUAAAGUUACCAGCAACUCUCCUGGCGUGAGCCAGGUGUUGAUCGCUGGAGUCGGAGUCUACCGGGCCAGCAGGUCGCACCACAAGGAGCGGUGGCCCUAGUUAUUAAUUGCACUAGACUUCCUAUACCCCUUUGCCAUGUGAGUUGUGCUACCUGGAGAACGCUGUGUGGGGUGUGCAGGGAGUCGUGAGUGGCAGUGUUGAGUGCCGUGGGACGCGAGGACUGAUGACGCUGCUCGUCUCGCAGCAGCCACACCCCAGGAUGUACACAUUUGAACCCCGAAUGUAAUUCACUGCACCAAGUUCAGCUGCCCUUCGUGGACGUCGUAGCGGUGGAUUUAUGCAGUGAAUUCAUGCUGGAAGCCUGUGUCUGAUAUAUACUUGUGAAAAUUUGUGAAUAAGUGUUGUGAAAAAUCCAAUGCUG